This 368-nucleotide unclassified non-coding RNA is filed under the name Hevea brasiliensis (rubber tree). The record is from RNAcentral. Lineage: Eukaryota; Viridiplantae; Streptophyta; Magnoliopsida; Malpighiales; Euphorbiaceae.
GUCAAAAUUGAUCGAAAUCAUCAAUUAAAGAAUCGGAGAAUCGAGGAAUCGAGAGGAUCGAUCGGCGGAGAUCACAAAAAUGUCGGUGGAGCCUCCUCCUUUUCAAGAAGCAGCGCGCUGCGAAGUAUGCAAAUGCAGUUUCAACACCUUCCGGCGACGGCAUCAUUGCCGAUGCUGUGGAAGGACGUUGUGCCACGAGCAUUCUUCUUUUCAAAUGGCCUUGCCGCAGUUCGGUAUUCAUUCCUCUGUUAGAGUUUGUGCUGACUGUUUUAAUAACUCCUCUCAAUCUAGAGAAGUCGGUCAACCACAAUCGUUAGCUGUAGUUGAUCAAGUAGCAGAUACAGUUUCCCAAUUAAGCCUGGAUGGGG